GUGGUUUGUCUCUCCUGGUGUGGUGUCUGGAGGAAUAAGGGUUUGUCUCUCCUGUUGUGGUGUCUAGAGGAGUAGGGGUUCUCUCUCCUGGUGUGGUGUCUAGAGGAGUUGGGGUUUGUCUCUCCUGGUGUCUGGAGGAGUAGGGGGUUUGUUCUCCUGGUGUGGUGUCUGGAGGAGUAGAGGAUUUGUCUCUCCUGGUGUGUUGUCUGGAGGUGUAGGGUUUGUCUCUCCUGGUGUGGUGUCUGGAGGAUAGGUGGUUUGUCUCUUAUGGUGUGGUGUCUGGAGGAAUAAGGGUUUGUCUCUCCUGGUGUGGUGUCUGGAGGAGUUGGGGUUUUGUCUCUCCUGGUGUGGUGUCUGGAGGUGUAGGGUUUUGUCUCUCCCGGUGUGGUGUCUGGAGGAGUAGGUGGUUUGUCUCUCAUUGUUACGUUCCCCAGAUUAUGUGUUGUAGAUUGUGUAUUUGCAUGUGUUUAUUUCAGGAAAUGGCUUCCUGAAAUUCCUCAAGCAGCUGAUUGGUCGACUCCAGGGCUAAUUGGAGAGCUGACCCCGCCCCCUCGUCAAGACACAGCUGUCUCCAAUUACCCAUUCCUUCAGAAGCUAUAUAAAAGCCAGUGUUCUGUUCAGGAGUUUUUCUUUUUGCUAGAGAGAUUUGCUGGGAGGUCAUUGUAGAGAUUGUGAUAGAGGUUGAUUUUGCUGGGAGUACAUUGCUGAGUUUGUUGCUCAGAAAGAGCUUAUUUGACAUCCUUUUGUUUCUUAGUUUGUUUAAAAUUGUUUAAUAUUCUGUUUCAUUUGUUCCCAGGGGGAAAGGGAAGGCACCUAGGGAGUGCUUAGGCAAGAGGCCCGCGGGCAUACAUAUACCCGUAGCAUAUUCGCUGUCUAGACACACUAGGUAAGACCUGGGCGGACCACCCCUUGUAUUUUGGUUAGGGCACCAGGUGGUGCUAAAUUAGGUAAGUAGUGG
Molecule: long non-coding RNA, 958 nt
Organism: Oncorhynchus tshawytscha (Chinook salmon)
Lineage: Eukaryota; Metazoa; Chordata; Actinopteri; Salmoniformes; Salmonidae
Source: Ensembl